This is a long non-coding RNA of Notolabrus celidotus (New Zealand spotty), 388 nucleotides long. RefSeq lists it as uncharacterized. The record is from RefSeq and is a predicted model, not a curated record. NCBI's taxonomy places the organism in Eukaryota, Metazoa, Chordata, Actinopteri, Labriformes, Labridae. The transcript has 2 exons.
GAACAGGAAGUCAACCAACCUCAGACCAGACACCAGGGGGAUUUUGCACCUGCAGGAAACAUCCGGACCUCUGAGAUCUGUGAGAGUGCAGGUCGUCCAUGACCGGUCUCAGCUUCAUUCAUGUCUUUAGCUCUCAGGUGUGCUCACAUUUUAAACCAUCAGAUGGCAGCACACACCAGAGCAGAGUCAGAGGGAGCAGGAGGAUCCAGUCCUCUAAAGGAACACAUUCAGGUGUGUGAAUCCAUGAAGAGGAAGACAACCGAUCAGAGGGUCCUGAGGGGGUUCGUCAUGUCCCGGUGAGCCCCUACGAAGCUUCCCCAAAGCGACUACGAGUUCCAAAUCGAUCAAUACAAUAAUCUGUAAUCAAUAAACUAUCUUUCAAAUCUCA